GAGUGGAAAAGCUUUGCCGGUGAAUAAGACCGGUGAGCUUUGGCUAAGAGGACCUACCAUUAUGAAAGGUUAUUUCAGUAAUGAAGAAGCUACUGCUUCCACUCUAGACUCUGAUGGAUGGUUAAGAACUGGAGAUCUAUGCUAUAUAGAUGAAGAUGGUUUCAUUUUUGUGGUUGAUAGAUUAAAGGAGCUCAUCAAAUAUAAAGGUUAUCAGGUUCCUCCAGCAGAGUUAGAGGCUUUAUUGCUCACUCAUCCAGAAAUUUCUGAUGCUGCUGUUAUACCGUUUCCGGAUAAGGAGGUCGGACAGUUUCCUAUGGCAUAUGUAGUACGUAAAACUGGGAGUACUAUAUCAGAGAGUGCAGUCAUGGAUUUCAUUGCGAAACAGGUUGCUCCAUAUAAAAGAAUUCGGAGAGUUGCAUUUGUGGCUUCCAUACCGAAGAAUCCUUCUGGGAAAAUACUCAGGAAGGAUUUGAUAAAGCUAGCAACAUCAAAA
This 493-nucleotide unclassified non-coding RNA is filed under the name Hevea brasiliensis (rubber tree). The record is from RNAcentral. Lineage: Eukaryota; Viridiplantae; Streptophyta; Magnoliopsida; Malpighiales; Euphorbiaceae.